RNAcentral lists this ribosomal RNA (407 nucleotides) under Photobacterium damselae. Its description in RNAcentral is "bacterial SSU rRNA". It matches the Rfam family "Bacterial small subunit ribosomal RNA", at positions 1 to 393 of the family's 1533-position model. Lineage: Bacteria; Pseudomonadati; Pseudomonadota; Gammaproteobacteria; Vibrionales; Vibrionaceae. The record is from RNAcentral.
UUAAUUGAAGAGUUUGAUCAUGGCUCAGAUUGAACGCUGGCGGCAGGCCUAACACAUGCAAGUCGAGCGGCAGCGACUUAACUGAACCUUCGGGGAACGUUAAGGGCGGCGAGCGGCGGACGGGUGAGUAAUGCCUGGGAAUAUGCCCUGAUGUGGGGGAUAACUAUUGGAAACGAUAGCUAAUACCGCAUAAUCUCUUCGGAGCAAAGAGGGGGACCUUCGGGCCUCUCGCGUCAGGAUUAGCCCAGGUGGGAUUAGCUUGUUGGUGAGGUAAUGGCUCACCAAGGCAACGAUCCCUAGCUGGUCUGAGAGGAUGAUCAGCCACACUGGAACUGAGACACGGUCCAGACUCCUACGGGAGGCAGCAGUGGGGAAUAUUGCACAAUGGGGGAAACCCUGAUGCAGCC